Molecule: non-coding RNA, 837 nt
Filed under: Pongo abelii (Sumatran orangutan)
Lineage: Eukaryota; Metazoa; Chordata; Mammalia; Primates; Hominidae
Source: RNAcentral
UCCAGGUGCAGGCGAAGCGUCCUCCCUGUGUUCCUGGAGGACUGUCCCAAGCCUCUCUCCAUUCUCCCAACCUCUCUGGCCUGGUCCCACUCCGGGUCUUGCCCAAGUCUUUCUGAUUGGUGGAACUUAAAUCACACCCAAAAUCCCAGCUGCAGGAGAGCUGAGAUUUCAUCUUUCCAACCUCUGUGUGCUGCAUGGGGGUUGGAGCACUUGCUGACAAGCCUUGCAACAACCAUUGACAGGAUGUCCUCCACCUUUUCAGUCUGAUUUGCUCUUUGCCAUGCAGACCUGUGGAUGAAAAGCCAGAGUCCUCCAAGGUGAAGCUGGACUGAAUAUUUCUGUCCAUAAGACUAUUAGAAUCCCCCAAAGUGGGAUACCAGUGAGGACUUCACCAGCAGCUGCUGUCUCUCCAAUGCAGGGCAAGGAAGGACUGUGCAUUGAGGGUUUCAUGCUGCGGUGGCUCCUCCGGUGUUUCAUUGAUGGGAGCACCUCAUGAAGCUUUCCUGGAGCACCAUCUGGGAGUUUCAGGAGCGACUGUUUCAGAGCUGGGCCCGGGAGGACAACGUGGUCCUCAGGAACCUUCAAAACUCCAUGAAGGAACUCACAAGGAAACACUGGGACCUGCCACCCCCAGUGCAGGCAGUCUGCACCCCAGAGCCUGGCCCAGCAGCACCCCGAAUGCCCUAGUCCACUAUGCCAACAUGGCACCCGGAGGCUUCAAGGCCCUGUCUGCCGCACCACACGCCUCCUGGAGGCCUCGUCCUGCAGCCUAGCCCCUGCCGUAGCCACAGCAGGCACCACUGCCAAGCGCCUUCCAGCCGGGCUUCCCAGAGGACA